UGACCAGUUACAACCAAUUACAAUCCAUGAUUUAGUGCAUUGGCUUCACAAUAUGUAUUGGUUAUAUUUUGGGCUCUAGUAGAGAAAAUUAAGUUCUAUAGAUAAUUACGAGAAUGAGAAGAAAAAGCAACUCCGCGAAGACAAACAAACAAUACAAAGAUUAUAAUAGCACAAGCAGAACUGCUAAACAUGCUACUCGAGCUUAUGGACAACAAACAACGCCAAAUCUGAAAAGAAAUAGGAGAUGAGCUAGCAAGAACUGAAGCCAAAAAGACUUGAUUUUAGAGGGAACAAAGCUCACGCCUCCACGCCACAGUCAGAGGCUCCGCAACCAUAGAUCACAAGCCAAAACCAUAAAUGAGCAUUCCAGUUAGAUGGCAAGAAGCAACUAUAAAUUCUUACCAGAAGCGCACACAACAACACAAAAUUCCUGAAAGCUCUCUAAAUCCGGUAGAAGAGCUGGAAGAGUUGCAGUUGCCAUCGCUAAAGCUACAACCCUCACCAAGUUUCUUCUCAUCGAGAAGAAAUCACCAACAUGGUGGAUUGAGUUGUCGAGAUGAAUAGGGAAGGAAAAAGCUUCACCGAGAAAAGCGACCACGGCAAAAAGAUGGAUAUGGCCGCAGUGGCAGACGAACUUUAUUCAUGAGAGAAAUUUGAGGGUGCAUGAAACACACACACGUUUCUCUUGUCCGCUAUGUCUAAUGCUACUGUUUAAAUUCUAAGUAAACUUUUUUUUUUUUUUCUCACAUUUGAAUUAUGUCACACUGCAAAAUCGCAUUUCAAUGCGAAUCUUUAUCAUUUGCGACAUUUCCAUGUAAAUCCAUUUCAUUUAUGAGAACUAACAAAUUAUCAUUAUUCCU
Molecule: long non-coding RNA, 860 nt
Organism: Raphanus sativus (radish)
Lineage: Eukaryota; Viridiplantae; Streptophyta; Magnoliopsida; Brassicales; Brassicaceae
Exons: 2
Source: RefSeq, a predicted model, not a curated record